AAUAUCUCCGCUGUAGUAGAGUGGUCAGGACUGUACCUGAGCAGACAGGGAGUGGGACAGGCCCAAUAAAUGAGCUUGUUAAACUGCACCCCACACAGUCCAACUCAGCAACAGGCCUCAUACAGUUUUCAGAGCUGAUGAUCAUGAAAGAAGUAAUUAUUUAAAAUAAUAUGCCUCAUUUCAGAAACAACAAGCAUUCCGUGGCAGAGAGGGCCAUUAACAGUUUCCAGAAGCAGUAUUGAGAUCGCCGAAACACACAACGUUGUACAUCCUGCAUAUGAGCGCACUUGGAUGUGGCAGAUAGAGAACACGUCUGGACAGAAAACAUAUAGGUUAACAUCAGAUAUCAACCCUCCCCAGUUCUGGGAAAUUAGUGCUUUCAGAAUAGCAGAAGACGGUGAAGUGUGCAUUGUGAAGCCUCUGAUAAUGAGGAUAAAUGACAGCAUUUAGGAUUCUCCUAAAUUGGAUGACCAAUUCUGCAGACCGAGAGUUACAUUAAAGCGGACAGGCCUUUCAUCGUGGAUGUUCAAGACCAAGAAUGCUACAAUAUAUAACUUUGUGAUUUCACCAAACUAUCUUCAUAACUUCCUAUUCCAUUGUCCCAAAGAUAAGAAAUGUAGACCAUUCAAAGGCUGAUGUUGUCUCCCAUGCGACUGGAUGAUGCAUCAGCAGCAAGUUAAAUAAUCUGCUACGUUAAAUAAAAUGCUUUUAUUGUCA
Molecule: long non-coding RNA, 717 nt
Organism: Rhincodon typus (whale shark)
Lineage: Eukaryota; Metazoa; Chordata; Chondrichthyes; Orectolobiformes; Rhincodontidae
Exons: 4
Source: RefSeq, a predicted model, not a curated record